UACGGAGGGUGCAAGCGUUAUCCGGAUUUACUGGGUUUAAAGGGUGUGUAGGCGGACUAUUAAGUCAGGGGUGAAAGACGGUAGCUCAACUAUCGCAGUGCCCUUGAUACUGAUGGGCUUGAAUGAACUAGAGGUAGGCGGAAUGUGACAAGUAGCGGUGAAAUGCAUAGAUAUGUCACAGAACACCAAUUGCGAAGGCAGCUUACUAUGGUUUUAUUGACACUGAGGCACGAAAGCGUGGGGAUCAAACAGG
Molecule: ribosomal RNA, 253 nt
Filed under: uncultured bacterium
Lineage: Bacteria
Description: partial 16S ribosomal RNA
Rfam family: Bacterial small subunit ribosomal RNA
Source: RNAcentral